This is a long non-coding RNA of Triplophysa rosa, 2618 nucleotides long. RefSeq lists it as uncharacterized. The record is from RefSeq and is a predicted model, not a curated record. The transcript has 3 exons. NCBI's taxonomy places the organism in Eukaryota, Metazoa, Chordata, Actinopteri, Cypriniformes, Nemacheilidae.
GAUGUACAACAGUAUAUGGGCGCCCCCUAGCGUAUGGAUUAUUUCUGCCUGAAAUCUUGCUUUAAGGUGGAAGAGCCAUCUUAAAUGGAAACUACAUCGGUCGCUCGCCUCUCACAUACACCAAAGUAACAUGCGCCUAUUUUAAUCUGAUUAAUGCUUUUGAGAUUUUCUUCUAAUUGACUUGGACGUUGCAGAAGUGCGUUUGUAAGUCUCUGCCACAUUUAUUCUCUAGAGUGUUAUUCGCGCACGGGAGUAUUGCUGCGUUUCGGUUAAUUUUGGCAAAUUUAUUGAAACGGUAAAAAGUGAGCACCGUUCCUCAUCUCCGACCAUUCAAUGCAACGUAUGUGAACAAGGCAGCCGAAAGCAGCACUGCAGAAGUAAAUUACAUCUUACCGAUGCUUUUUGGAUUUUACCUUCAGAUCAAGACCUCUGCAGGCAUGUGAAGAGGGCAGAGGACACUGUGGGGACCAAAGAAUGCUCAGUGGUGACAUCAACACCAAAUGCAUGAUGGGAAGAGGAACCGUGCAUGAUGAUCGGACAAUGACAAAGCAGGGAAGGCGAAACGAUCCGUGGCUCAGUUGACAGCGGGCUGAUUGAAAUCAACUAUGGUUUGUAUGGUUGUAAAUUUUGCAUGUAUUCAUACGAUGUAGAACAGAAUCGUGGUUUAAAGGGACUAUUGGAAGACUCAUAUUUUUUCUAAAUAAUGAUGCAUUGUAAUAAAGGAUUUUCCUCAACCCUUGAUAUAAAUGUAACUACGUAUACUUAAAAUGUGGAAAAAAUAAAUUAAAAUAAUAAAAUAAAUAAUAAUAAAUAAAUGUGAGUAUAAAUUACUAUUAUUUUUUGUUAUUAUUAUCAAAUAGGAAUUCUUGUUAUAUGUAAACCAAUACUUGUUCCUAGUAGCUUUAUGAACAGGCAUUUGGGAUUAUCCCUUCCCAUUCUUUUCCAGUCUACAAUUUUCCAGAUCUUAAUAUGAAGUUAUAGUGUAAAAUCAAAAUUUUUUAAUUUUUACACUGGUCAUGGUUAAGCAGUAAAUCUUCAUUUAAUGUGGAGCUGUAACUGCCAUUUUUAUUGUGAAAAUUGCUAUGUGUCCAAUUCUUAACUCCUAUUAAAAAUAGAUUUUUAUUAUUUUCCACGUAUACUUACAGUAUAUUACUUACAUUUUCCAUAUAUACUUAUAAUUUUGCUUUUACCAUACCAGUCUGGAUUCAAUCAUUGACCACAAGACUAAACCCAAGUUAUUGGGAAAUAUAAAUGUUUUCAGAAGUAAGCAAAGAGCCAAAGGAAAAGACAUGGGAAAGAGAGAGAAGGUGGGAGAGAGAUAUUAAGAAUAUAUACUGACCGUAAUUGAAAGCAGCUUGUUUUCUAAUGAGGACUACUGGGAGACAUAAGCAAAGGUUUUUAGUUUGCUUUUGCACUUAAAACUUACACGCUUCAGAACAUAUUAUGAGCACUACUGUCUGUAUAUCAAAGGAGGAUGAAAACAUGUAAUUGGUGAAAAAUACCAUUACACUAUUAUUUUAACUGCUACAUUUUAAGACUACUGUCAGUCUAAAUUGAUCUACAUUAAAUCAAAUGUAUCAAUGUUAUUAAGCUUGUUUUUUUUUACUUUGAUGAUACACAUAUAUAUGCGUGUGUGCGUGUGUGUGUGUAUGUAUGUAUCAUCAAUUACAAGAAAAAAAUAUGUAGGAUAUCAAAGGAAAGCGGGGUGCAAAAAUGAACUGAACCACACACACGCACUGGCAGUGGAAGGAAGGGCAAAGAACACUCAGCACAAGAUUUAAUGAGUGCUGAGUUGUUGUGGUAUUUGCAAUGCGGCCAAAAAAGCUCAGCUAUGUUCAGGAAGCAUGUGAAGUGUCUGCAAUGAAAAAACGUUGUCAAACAAGAUUUGGGAUCAAUUACCCAGACAGAGAGUGUAAUGUUUACGCGAACCCCCUGAAAGAGGCAGUGUCCGGGGAAACUUCAGCUGCAGGCCCUGAAGUGCUCAUGUAACUGGCUCUUGAAGUCCUCUCUAAGGACAUUCGUUUUGUCACCUCCAGUAAGAGCUGUUUAGUCGCAGCCACAAAGUAUUACCCUGCUCCCUCUUGCCCUCAAGAAGCACACGUAAAGUACUUUGUCUCAGCUAUUGCCUAAUAAUAAAAUAAUACAUUACAGACCAAGUUAGGUUUUCCUUACAGAUGACCGAUUUUAAAAUGUAGUGUCUGUGUUUUUAUUACUUGCAGACGUUAUAAAUUCCACAUGUCCAAACGUGUUCUAUUGUCACUCCAGGGAAUCUUCGAGAGUGAGGGUAUCAUUGUCUUGAAAAUAAUGGACAUGUUGUAUUUCAUUACAUGUUAUAUUCAAUAAUGUACUGAAAGAAUCCUGUGCUUUUUUUUUUAGAUGCCCAUUUAGACAUUGUAAACACAUAAGUGCUUAAUCUGUCUUUAGCCUGCAAAGGGUGUUAAUGAUAUCAAUCACAUUCUUUAACCUUGGUUUAAAAGGUCUGGCUAUGUACAGCAGCUGCCAGCGUGCACCUUUUAAGGCAAUUAAGGAAUUUACAUUGAGGAAAAUAAAUAGUAGUGCCUGAAACAGGGUGCGGAGAAAUACAGAGACGUUAACACAGACUACAAAUAAACUUCAUA